This 465-nucleotide ribosomal RNA is filed under the name uncultured bacterium. RNAcentral describes it as "bacterial SSU rRNA". It matches the Rfam family "Bacterial small subunit ribosomal RNA", at positions 338 to 795 of the family's 1533-position model. The record is from RNAcentral.
CCUACGGGGUGCAGCAGUGGGGAAUAUUGCACAAUGGGCGCAAGCCUGAUGCAGCCAUGCCGCAUGUAUGAAGAAGGCCUUCGGGUUGUAAAGUACUUUCAGCGGGGAGGAGGGCGGCGAGGUUAAUAACCUCAUCGAUUGACGUUACCCGCAGAAGAAGCACCGGCUAACUCCGUGCCAGCAGCCGCGGUAAUACGGAGGGGGCAAGCGUUAAUCGGAAUUACUGGGCGUAAAGCGCACGCAGGCGGUCUGUCAAGUCGGAUGUGAAAUCCCCGGGCUCAACCUGGGAACUGCAUUCAAAACUGGCAGGCUAGAGUCUUGUAGAGGGGGGUAGAAUUCCAGGUGUAGCGGUGAAAUGCGUAGAGAUCUGGAGGAAUACCGGUGGCGAAGGCGGCCCCCUGGACAAAGACUGACGCUCAGGUGCGAAAGCGUGGGGAGCAAACAGGAUUAGAUACCCGAGUAGUC